RNAcentral lists this ribosomal RNA (633 nucleotides) under Triticum aestivum (bread wheat). RNAcentral's name for it is "partial small subunit ribosomal RNA". Lineage: Eukaryota; Viridiplantae; Streptophyta; Magnoliopsida; Poales; Poaceae. The record is from RNAcentral.
AUGGCCGGUGUUGGAAGGGGGAUGGGGCGGGGCUGUGGCGAUGGCAAGCUGCGAACAGUGGGGGUCGUCGCCGGCGUCCAUGGCCCAUCUCAAGAGACUAUUCCCGCUUGUCAGGGCAGAGGUCACGGCAGCGGCAGUGUGACGAUCCCCGUCGACCAUUCAUCGGGAGGACAAGCAACGGGAUUUCUGGAUGACAUCAACCGAAGCGGAUUUGCCACCGGGGUGGCUCGUCAGGGUGGCAUAAGCAGAGGCCUGGAGGUUCCACUGCCGGUUAAAGAACCAACUAUAGGUAAUGCAAAUGAUAUAACAAACAUAUGGUGUCAUGGGAAAUCAUUGGAAGGACAAGCAUGGGAGUGUGGAUAUUGUGGUUUAGUUAGACAUGGUGGGGGUUCAACCCGAUUCAAGCAGCAUAUAGCUGGACUGGGCCCUCAUGUCUUCUCUUGCAUGAAUGCACCUCAUCACGUAGUUGCCAUUUUUCGGAAAGCCAUUCCAGAGGGAGAGGCCCGGAGAAGGACUUCCAAAGAAGGAAAGAAAAGAGUGGUAGCUGAGAAGAUGAUGAGGUACUCCAGUAGACCCUACGAAAUUCGUUACGUGAAGAUCAUGGGAGAACCAGUGCUGUUAAAGGAAGUGUAG